ACGGGUGAGUAAUGCCUAGGAAUCUGCCUGGUAGUGGGGGAUAACGCUCGGAAACGGACGCUAAUACCGCAUACGUCCUACGGGAGAAAGCAGGGGACCUUCGGGCCUUGCGCUAUCAGAUGAGCCUAGGUCGGAUUAGCUAGUUGGUGAGGUAAUGGCUCACCAAGGCGACGAUCCGUAACUGGUCUGAGAGGAUGAUCAGUCACACUGGAACUGAGACACGGUCCAGACUCCUACGGGAGGCAGCAGUGGGGAAUAUUGGACAAUGGGCGAAAGCCUGAUCCAGCCAUGCCGCGUGUGUGAAGAAGGUCUUCGGAUUGUAAAGCACUUUAAGUUGGGAGGAAGGGCCAUUACCUAAUACGUGAUGGUUUUGACGUUACCGACAGAAUAAGCACCGGCUAACUCUGUGCCAGCAGCCGCGGUAAUACAGAGGGUGCAAGCGUUAAUCGGAAUUACUGGGCGUAAAGCGCGCGUAGGUGGUUUGUUAAGUUGAAUGUGAAAUCCCCGGGCUCAACCUGGGAACUGCAUCCAAAACUGGCAAGCUAGAGUAGGGCAGAGGGUGGUGGAAUUUCCUGUGUAGCGGU
Molecule: ribosomal RNA, 584 nt
Filed under: Pseudomonas sp. StFLB092
Lineage: Bacteria; Pseudomonadati; Pseudomonadota; Gammaproteobacteria; Pseudomonadales; Pseudomonadaceae
Description: bacterial SSU rRNA
Rfam family: Bacterial small subunit ribosomal RNA
Source: RNAcentral